UUUUGAUCAGAUUAUUGACACACAAUAAUCAUUAAAAGCAUAGCUUAACCUUAUCCGAUUUCCUAUCAUUGUUUACAGAUAAGGGUUAGACCCCCUACAAUGAUAAUACAUUGUCUAUGCAAUUAGGUUGUCCCAUUGAACCUAGAUUCUGGGAUCUCCAGUCAACAAGGUUGGGUUUUCCUUCACAUAGAACCUUUAAAUAUUUAUGGCCAUCAAUCCCAUUCUUCUUGAUGUCGUUUCAACUUGAUCUCGGUUUAAACCUUUUGGUUAGCAGAUCCGCAAUGUUAUCCUUUGAUUUUACAUAAUCAACAGAUAUAACCCCCG
Molecule: long non-coding RNA, 324 nt
Filed under: Panax ginseng (ginseng)
Lineage: Eukaryota; Viridiplantae; Streptophyta; Magnoliopsida; Apiales; Araliaceae
Description: long non-coding RNA (PGIN_LNC017013)
Source: RNAcentral